Long non-coding RNA from Lemur catta (Ring-tailed lemur), 213 nucleotides. RefSeq lists it as uncharacterized. The record is from RefSeq and is a predicted model, not a curated record. Lineage: Eukaryota; Metazoa; Chordata; Mammalia; Primates; Lemuridae. The transcript has 3 exons.
CAGCCACACACAAAGAACGUACCCAGGAGCUACAGAACAAUAAAAGCAGGUUAUGGAUCCAGGCACCGAACUGCAUAAAUUGAACAAGCCGGCUUCUUCCAUUUUCUAGAAUAUCUGGUCUGUUGCAGCCCUGAGAUGUGUUGCGCAGCAAGAAAUAGAUGUUCUGUGAUGAGAGUGGCACCUUCAGGACAAAGAUCGUUAUUAAGCUUGAGC